AAGAAGGUGCGGGAUAAGAAUAGGACGGCAACGGUGGUGGUUCAAGGUGGUUGAUCUGGUGGUGUGCAUGUGACUUCCAGAUCGCGUCAAGUUGACUCCGCUUAUGUAGUUUCGUGUUUGUUCCGUUAUUUUUACUUGGCUUGCACGGGCUUUGUUAGGUUGGGGGUAAUGAUGUGUCUAUGGGUGGUGAUGAGCGGUGUUUACGGUGGUGACCGACGGGGUGGUGGCACUUGAAGAGUGGUAGUUAGGUGUUCGUGUAUAGGAUGUGUUCAGCCGCUGAAAUCAAAAUACAAGAGAGAGAGGGAGAUUAAAUGAGGAGGAUGACGACGGGGAUGGUUCUUGGCUCAAUUGAUCUUCUAAAUCCCACCACAAGGUAACCUCUCGUUCCAAUUAUAGUGCUUCAUGUUCGUUUUACAUGAGAUUUGUAGGGGUUUUUCUUUGGUUCUGUUAGUGAUGGUAGAACGUGGAGGUGCACUGUGGCGUUUGGUGGUGGAGAAAGUGCGGGUGGUGGUGAGCGGCAGAAUGGUGUAGGGUGGUGGAGUGCCGAUGGAGAUGACAAUUGUAGUUGUGGUUGCGGUGAUGUAGGAUGGUAUGCGAUGGUGAUAAAUUAUGUCAAGGUUUGAACUAAAAUGGUGAUGGCGGUUGUGUACGGUGUCGGUGGCCGAUGAGGAUGAUAACCGCUGUAAUGGUGCGGUUCAUGAUGACGAUGCGGCAAAGGUGCGUGAUGGCGUGUAGUUUCGUAGCGAAAAUAUUCGACUACGGGUAGAUGACAAUGCUGUCGGGUACCGUAUUGGUAACGAUGGGGGUUGAUAUUCGAUUAAGAUUGUGGUGGAGACAGAGGUGGUGCAUGGCGGUUUCGGGUGAGCCACGACGGUGCGACGCGUGACUGUGAGGGCUAUCAUGGUGGUACAAAGUAGGUGAUGAACCAGAUUUCCAUGGGGUUUCUGCUAGAGUGGCGUAGAGGAAUGUUAGGUUAAUAAUGGAGUAUGAAGAGUUGAGUAGGUGUGUGUGGUACGUACAAAAAAAGGAUGGAGAAAAUGGUGAUGGUGUAUGCAUGGUGAUUCACAUAAACACAUUUUAGGUGGCGAGGUUGCAUGGGGAUUGGGCUAUUAGGAGGUCACGUUUUGGUGUUAGUGAUUAAUGCAUGGUGAUGAUAUUGGUGUCAUAAGGGAACUUUGGCAGUAGUGGUUUUAUACCAUCAUAAUUUAAUGUUGUGGUGAGGAUUACACUACAAGAAAUAUAGAUUAAUACCGGCGACAACUUUAGGGGCGCCUUCAAAAUUGUCGCCAGUAAAACCCUAUCCGUGUCCAACUUUUUAGAAUUACUCCCUGACCAUUGAUUUGAAAGCAAUCCGACGGUCCAGCUUUUAUCAUCCCUUAAAGUGAAUAAAACCCUUGGCGGGCAGCCAUUCUCCCAUUUCCCCCCCAAAUCGUUCCGCCUGCCUCCCCCAAACCCCACGAAGCCACCACCACUAGAACAAUCUGCAGUUAACCAGCCACCACCACCCUCCGGAUACAGCUCGCCAACACCAGAACCUGCACUCACCUCCUCGGUGCUCCACAGCCGCUGCUGCACCUACAGGUGUGGAUUGUGUGCAAUUGUAGGUAUACGGUGGUUGGCUUGAGGUAUCACCGUCAAAUAUUUGGUGGAGGCUGAAGUGGCAGUCGAGUGAGAGGAGGGAUUACGUCGCUUAACCUGGUUACAUGGCUUGACACUUGAGCUUUAAUGGUUGACAUGGAUCUGCUAUCUCAGAUAGUAGAACCUAAGUUAAUUGGAUUAAAGUUUGCAGCCAACGUGGGGGAGUGAUGGUGAGAUCCGCCGUUUAUGAAAGUGGGUUUGUUCCGAAUUUAUCAAAUGCGAGAGGAUUUGGUGAUUUGCUAGGAAGUCAAAUGCGAGACAUAUGAAAAGAUCUUUCCUUUCAAGAACAUUUGUGCUAGCAGAAAGGUAAUCUAUAUCAGGGUACACUCAACGGAAGAUGGGGCAUGGCUGGGUCUGAAUGAAGAGAGGCCAGAAACUACCAUCUUCCGACAAGUUAAGCCGCGGCAGGUGCUUUUCGAUACAUAACAGUUAUAGGUUUCGCUUGAGGACACGGUUCGAGACGAUUAGCUUGUGGAUAUGGAAGCUUUGCAACCUGUCAAAAAGAGGAAGUCCCCUAACAGUUUAUCUGUCCUUGGGGCAAGAGGAAGUCCCCUAGCAGUUUAUUUGCCCUUGGGGAAAGAGGAGAAGAAAAAUUCCUUUAUCCCCUACUUUGUGUUUAGGAUUUAAGAUUGAUUUCAGGUUAAAUGGAUGAACGAUGACCUCUUGGAUGUUGCAUGAAGCUACUCGGCAUUGAAGUUGGCAUUUCUAGUUGAAGACGAUGUUUUAAAUAAAUAAAUUUCAAACAUUUAAAUUGUGUAUUUUAGUUUGGAUAUUUUCCAUGAUUGGGAAUUUAACUUAAAAGUUUUCCGCUGCG
Long non-coding RNA from Helianthus annuus (common sunflower), 2452 nucleotides. RefSeq lists it as uncharacterized. Lineage: Eukaryota; Viridiplantae; Streptophyta; Magnoliopsida; Asterales; Asteraceae. The transcript has 8 exons. The record is from RefSeq and is a predicted model, not a curated record.